UUCUCCAGCAAAUAGCCGCUGAAAUCCCAGCACAUUGGGGUGUGGUCUCUCUUUAAAAAUGCGGCUACUUCCCUCCUCCCUCUCUCUUUUCUGCUCCAUUUCUGGUGACUAGACUCUUUCCUGGUUGCCCAGAGAGCUGGUGUCUGUGAUGGUGAUCUGUAAUUUUUUUUCCCCUUUAAAUAAUUACUACCCUAUUACUCAUAAUUUUUUUUAUUUAUUUUAUUUAUUUAUUUUUUUUACUCAUAAUUUAAAACUGGUUUGGGAUCGUUUUUUUAUUUAUGCCUUCAUCAUCUGUCGCCUGAACGUUAGGUUUUAGGACCCCUCCUUCCCUUGCUCUGCUGCCUGCCGCCAGUUUGGCUUGGUGCGAGCCCUCCGUCAUCCAUGCCUGUACCUUGUUCGUGGAGUCAGCAGUUUAUUCAAAAUUAUCAUGCAGUGACUUUUCUUGCCUGGAAUUUCUAUGAAUAAUAUCUCCUGUGAAUCACAGAAAUAGGAGACUUCGGCCUUCAAGGGGAAGAGGUCUUAGCAUCCGGGAACAAACAAACAGCCUCCCUACCAUAUCCAUUCAGUCAUCAGAGGAGAGAUCUGACUGACUGCAACUUGGAAAGAAGACGGCCCUGCUGGACAGAGACCUCCCUCCUGCUUUGGGUGGGGCAGCUGAGUGUACGUGG
Long non-coding RNA from Microtus oregoni (creeping vole), 668 nucleotides. RefSeq lists it as uncharacterized. NCBI's taxonomy places the organism in Eukaryota, Metazoa, Chordata, Mammalia, Rodentia, Cricetidae. The transcript is spliced from 3 exons. The record is from RefSeq and is a predicted model, not a curated record.